AAUUGAUGGAGGGGCACCACCAGGAGUGCAGUUUGCGGCUUAAUUUGACUCAACACGGGAAAACUCACCUGGCCCGGACAGCGUGAGGAUUAACAGAAUGAGAGCUCUUUCUUGAUUCGGUCGUAGGUGGUGCAUGACCGUUCUUAGUUGGUGGAGUGAUUAAGAAUAUAUGGUAUAGUAGUCCAGGCACUAACUAUUUCGUUUGUAAUCUUGCAAUCGCAACACAUUCCUCAUCGUACCAUUCAAAUGCAAAUAUAGUCAUACUCACUCGUCACUAUUUCCUGUGAUACCAAGAUCUUCAAUAGUGAAUCGACGAAAACAAUCGGCGACCGAUGAAAAGUUGCCAAAUCGAGAACUAGAGGUACGAGUUAUACCAAGACACUGCAGCAGUGGGGGAUGGGAUGGUGGAGC
RNAcentral lists this non-coding RNA (411 nucleotides) under Gongylonema pulchrum. Its description in RNAcentral is "Eukaryotic small subunit ribosomal RNA". It matches the Rfam family "Eukaryotic small subunit ribosomal RNA", at positions 1151 to 1433 of the family's 1831-position model. Lineage: Eukaryota; Metazoa; Nematoda; Chromadorea; Rhabditida; Gongylonematidae. The record is from Rfam by way of RNAcentral.